AUGGCUGUCGUCAGCUCGUGUCGUGAGAUGUUGGGUUAAGUCCCGCAACGAGCGCAACCCUCGGCCUUAGUUGCCAUCAUUAAGUUGGGCACUCUAAGGCGACUGCCGGUGAUAAGCCGGAGGAAGGUGGGGAUGACGUCAAGUCAGCAUGACCCUUAUGUCCAGGGCUACACACGUGCUACAUUGGCCGGUACAAAGGGCUGCAAACCCGUGAGGGGGAGCGAAUCCCAAAAAGCCGGUCCCGGUUCGGAUUGAAGGCUGAAACUCGCCUUCAUGAAGGCGGAGUUGCUAGUAAUCGCGGAUCAGCAUUGCCGCGGUGAAUACGUUCCCGGGCCUUGUACACACCGCCCGUCACACCACGAAAGUCGGCAAUACCCGAAGCCGGUGGGCCAACCCGCAAGGGAGGCAGCCGUCGAAGGUAGGGUUGAUGAUUGGGGUGAAGUCGUAACAAGGUAGCCGUAGCGGAAGCUGCGGCUGGAUCACCUCCUUUCUAGGGAUCCCAGUAGCAAUUACUACUGGUGGCUGCCAGGCUUGUUGAUGGAUUGAACGUAAUCCGUCCAUGAUCUGGCUCGCCUAGAUCAACGUUGACCUCGACAAAGAUGUUCGCUGUUGAGUUUUGAGAGACCGGCCGUGGCCGUGCCCUUGGGCACACUCGAGCCGGCGUUCUCUCGUUGGGCGAGCUGGGCUCGCGCGCACCUUGAAAACUCCAUAGCUGCGAAAUUAUGAGUUCUUCACGAUCAAGAGAAUAAGGGCACACGGUGGAUGCCUUGGCGCCAAGAGCCGAAGAAGGACGUGGGCGGCUGCGAUAAGCUCGGGUGAGGUGCUGACCAACCUUUGACCCCGAGAUUUCCGAAUGGGGAAACCCGG
This 867-nucleotide small RNA is filed under the name uncultured Rubrobacteria bacterium. RNAcentral's name for it is "bacterial SSU rRNA". The stretch from base 1 to 490 matches the Rfam family "Bacterial small subunit ribosomal RNA", at positions 1045 to 1533 of the family's 1533-position model. Lineage: Bacteria; Bacillati; Actinomycetota; Rubrobacteria. The record is from RNAcentral.